This is a non-coding RNA of Pseudonaja textilis, 741 nucleotides long. The record is from RefSeq and is a predicted model, not a curated record. Lineage: Eukaryota; Metazoa; Chordata; Lepidosauria; Squamata; Elapidae.
CAAAUGUGUCAAGAAAGGUCAUAAAAUGGGGUAAAACUCACCUAACAACAAAUGUCUUGCUUAGCAACAGAAAUUUUGGGCUCAAUUGUGCUCGUAAGUCAAGGACUACCUGUACUUAUUUGAAAUUGCUAUUCUUAUAAUUUGAACCCGUUGAUAUACUUUGUUAUAAAUAAGAACAAAGGUACCUCACUUAGAGAUAUGAGAUUGUUACAUUACAGAUAAAGUGCAACAAAAGAUACUUUGGAGAUAUGAGUCUAUAUAUAUCCUAUUAAAAUAUUAUUUUCAUUAAUUGAUAGAUUAAAUUAAAAUGGAAGCUGUCAUGCUGCAAAGUAAUUAAUCAGCAUUAUUAUUAUCUUUCUUUACCAAAAUGCCUCUGAACCAAAAGAACUUGGUUGGAGCACAUACAAAAUAGAACCUAGAACCACAAAGAGUCCAUAGUACCUUUUCCAGCAUACACUUUGAUCAAUCAUGCAACUUACAAUCUCUUUAUACUGUGUACAGUCAGAGGCUCUAGUUAAGUUGCAGCACAUCAGAUUUGUCGCAAGUAUCAUUUUGCUAGAUAAACUUUAUAUUUUUCUAAUCAAAAAUAUUUCUGUGUUACUGUUCCUGGCAAAAUCUCCUUAAUGCAGUGAAUAAAACACGGGUGUCAAACUUGCUGCAUCACAUUGCCGUGACAUGAUGUUUCAUGACAUUUUUCCCACUCGCGGAGCUGGGGUGAGCGUGUCCUUUGCCUAACACAUC